Molecule: unclassified non-coding RNA, 148 nt
Organism: Macaca fascicularis (crab-eating macaque)
Lineage: Eukaryota; Metazoa; Chordata; Mammalia; Primates; Cercopithecidae
Rfam family: Metazoan signal recognition particle RNA
About the family: The signal recognition particle (SRP) is a universally conserved ribonucleoprotein. It is involved in the co-translational targeting of proteins to membranes.
Source: Ensembl
GCUGGGUAUGGUGGCACAUGCCUGUAGUCCCAGCUACUUGGGAAGUUGAGGUGGGAGGAUCACUCGAGUCCGGGAGUUCAAAGCUAUGGUGAGCUAUGAUUGUACCACUGUACUCCAGCCUGGGCAACAGAGUGAGACUCCAUCUCAA